RNAcentral lists this long non-coding RNA (334 nucleotides) under Oryza sativa Indica Group (long-grained rice). RNAcentral describes it as "lncRNA OsMH63_02G035410". The record is from RNAcentral. Lineage: Eukaryota; Viridiplantae; Streptophyta; Magnoliopsida; Poales; Poaceae.
AUGGCCAUGCUAGAGCUUGUUCAAAUCUUGCGUGCUCAACCAGGUCCAUUUCCUCCGCGGCCGUGCCGCUUCCGACUCGUCGCCGGCAUUGUCGGCUCAUCCAUCGGCCCUCAAAUUCGCCCCGAAGCACCACCCUCGCGCUCGUUGCGGGCUCGCCUGAGUGCCGACCCGCUCCUCCUUGCCCUGGAUCCGUUGUCUACCGACCCAAGAGCCGCCGCCUCUAGCAUGCCAGAACCAGCUGCCACCAUCCAAGGCUCCAACUCACUCAGCGCUAUACUGUCAUUGUCGAGAACGCCUGAUGCCUUGAAGAGUGGUCAACCAUAGGAGGGAGAGC